UGGGGAAUUUUGGACAAUGGACGCAAGUCUGAUCCAGCCAUUCCGCGUGCAGGAUGAAGGCCCUCGGGUUGUAAACUGCUUUUGUACGGAACGAAAAGGUCUCUCUUAAUAUGGGGGCUCAUGACGGUACCGUAAGAAUAAGCACCGGCUAACUACGUGCCAGCAGCCGCGGUAAU
RNAcentral lists this ribosomal RNA (176 nucleotides) under uncultured Comamonadaceae bacterium. RNAcentral's name for it is "partial 16S ribosomal RNA". It matches the Rfam family "Bacterial small subunit ribosomal RNA", at positions 355 to 524 of the family's 1533-position model. Lineage: Bacteria; Pseudomonadati; Pseudomonadota; Betaproteobacteria; Burkholderiales; Comamonadaceae. The record is from RNAcentral.